This 103-nucleotide small nuclear RNA is filed under the name Jaculus jaculus (lesser Egyptian jerboa). Lineage: Eukaryota; Metazoa; Chordata; Mammalia; Rodentia; Dipodidae. The record is from RNAcentral.
AUGCUUGCUUCAGCAGCACAUAUACUAAAAUUGGAACACAGAAAAGAUUAGCAUGGCCUUGCAUAAGGAUGACAUGCAAAUUUGUGAAGCGCUCCGUAUGUUU